UCCCUUUCAUUGGUUAUUUUGGCUGCACAUAGCCUUCUACUAAGAUUCAGGUAACUAUCGUUUUUCAGUAAUAUGAAGGUAUCCUUGCAUUUUCAAGGGAACUGUGAUGUUCCUGAACUGUAACUGGGAUGCUUGGGACAAGCAUAAUGAGGACAAGUAUCAGACACUGAAAACCAACCAAUCAACAACCAACAAAAAUUACUAAGGAAAUGAUGAGCUUGAAUGACUAAUGGAAACAACCAAGAGGAGCUAAAUAUAAAUUAUCUGACUCUAUAGUUUGAAUUGCCAGGUCUAAAAGCAGAAAACUGAUACGAAGUCCAGAAAUAAGGAAAUCAUGCAGAAAGUCACCUGGCUAAGUUCUAUACCAAAUGAAACUGGAAUGAAACAUAACAUAUGGAUGAAAAAAGAAAGUUUCAUUUGUUGCCAAAUAUCUUAUCUACAGAACAUCUGGAUUUUUAGAGCAUCUGCACAACUGACAGUCUCUCGACUUUUCAUCUCAAUGUUUGUGGUAAAUGGUGAGAUUGUUCUUCCUUCGUUUUGCCUUGGGUGCUGGGGAGAGAGUUCACCCAGGUACCCUUGGCCACAGUGGACCAACUUUUGCAAAAUGCUGUCAGUGACCUGUUAUUUCCUCGGCCCCAGUCAUCUUCCAACUGCAUCCCUAUUUGUUUGCCCAAGCAUUGUUCCUUGGUCUGCAUUCCAACCAGCACAAAGGGAAGAAGGAAAAUAAUUAGACCUAUGCUGCACUUUUAAGUAGUCAUGGACCAGAAAAGUAUGGAGGUAUCAAGAGAACCUAGAGAGACUGGAGAGGUGUCACCAGUGGAAAGAAAACAAGAACAUGUAAAGGGGGUUCCAGAAAGCUGACCUCAUUUAGCAAGCUGCUCCAGAAAAAUAAUAAAAGAGCCAAUGCAACAUCUUGUGGAACACCAGGACUGAGCACUCUUGUUGGGGGCAUUGCAUGGAGGCAUUCUGGCCUCAGAUGCACAGUGAUUUGUAUGGUGGCAUAAUCAUUGGCUUCUGGCCAGGCAUUAUGUUUCAGAGGACACUAUUGUCAAGAACCAUUCAACUAGAAAUCUGCACUGUAUGCACUCAGAAGUUGAGAUCAUCUGCCUUCCUAUGUCAGGAAGAAUUCUGUGCUGGCAAUUGACUCAUGCACUCUCUUCACACACGCUAGCACUUGGCUCUGAUGGAAUUAGCUGUGUAACCAAACCAGUGGCAUCAACAAGACAGGGCUGCAACCUCCUGGGACUUCUGUUUAAAUUGCUAAUUUUUGAAGACCUUAAAAUGCAGAGUAUUAU
Molecule: long non-coding RNA, 1295 nt
Organism: Talpa occidentalis (Iberian mole)
Lineage: Eukaryota; Metazoa; Chordata; Mammalia; Eulipotyphla; Talpidae
Exons: 9
Source: RefSeq, a predicted model, not a curated record